GAGAGCUUGCUCUCGGGUGACGAGUGGCGGACGGGUGAGUAAUGUCUGGGAAACUGCCUGAUGGAGGGGGAUAACUACUGGAAACGGUAGCUAAUACCGCAUAACGUCGCAAGACCAAAGAGGGGGACCUUCGGGCCUCUUGCCAUCAGAUGUGCCCAGAUGGGAUUAGCUAGUAGGUGGGGUAACGGCUCACCUAGGCGACGAUCCCUAGCUGGUCUGAGAGGAUGACCAGCCACACUGGAACUGAGACACGGUCCAGACUCCUACGGGAGGCAGCAGUGGGGAAUAUUGCACAAUGGGCGCAAGCCUGAUGCAGCCAUGCCGCGUGUAUGAAGAAGGCCUUCGGGUUGUAAAGUACUUUCAGCGGGGAGGAAGGUGAUGAGGUUAAUAACCUUGUCAAUUGACGUUACCCGCAGAAGAAGCACCGGCUAACUCCGUGCCAGCAGCCGCGGUAAUACGGAGGGUGCAAGCGUUAAUCGGAAUUACUGGGCGUAAAGCGCACGCAGGCGGUCUGUCAAGUCGGAUGUGAAAUCCCCGGGCUCAACCUGGGAACUGCAUUCGAAACUGGCAGGCUGGAGUCUUGUAGAGGGGGGUAGAAUUCCAGGUGUAGCGGUGAAAUGCGUAGAGAUCUGGAGGAAUACCGGUGGCGAAGGCGGCCCCCUGGACAAAGACUGACGCUCAGGUGCGAAAGCGUGGGGAGCAAACAGGAUUA
RNAcentral lists this ribosomal RNA (712 nucleotides) under Klebsiella oxytoca. RNAcentral's name for it is "bacterial SSU rRNA". It matches the Rfam family "Bacterial small subunit ribosomal RNA", at positions 74 to 780 of the family's 1533-position model. Lineage: Bacteria; Pseudomonadati; Pseudomonadota; Gammaproteobacteria; Enterobacterales; Enterobacteriaceae. The record is from RNAcentral.